GAAUUGUGCUUGGGCAGUAGAUAUAAAGAUGAAUAGGAAAUCGUCUUUGUCCUAGAAGAAGCUCACAGUCUAGAGAGGAAAAAGCCAACUGCCAUCUUGGGACUUGGGGUCCAUUCGAGCAUAAGUUGACACAACUGGUUCCUGAGCAGAAGGGAAGAUGAGGCUUGGAGAAGAAAGAAGGGCUAGGGAGAAAUAUGCGUGGUUAUCCCAUCCUACAUGGAACUCUAAUAGACACAGCAGAUAAAGGCAAGAGGUAAAUCCAGUCAGAAUAAAGCACCUGGACCUCACGUGCAGCCUCUCUCCUGGUGGGAGAGAGAAGAGCAGUUCAAGGAGCCGAGUCUGGCUUUUACUUAAGAAGGAUGGUGAUGAUAAUUGGGGUAAUUGUUAAAAAAAAAACUACAGGAGCCACAUAAAACCAAUAUCUCAAAAUAAAAAGUUUUAGACUUUUGUAAUAAGUAGUCUUUCAGGCCACAAGUAUUUAUUCGGCAUCCAUGGGGAUGCAGAGCUGUGUAUUAGCUUCCUGCACUCCUUCAUCCAUCCCCCGAUUUAGUUCAAAUAAUUCAUACAGUCUGGGCUGAAAAGAAACAAACAACAUUUGCAGGAUUUCAUUUCAUAAAUCCCCCUGCAGGGCAUUGACUGGCAGCUCACUGC
Molecule: long non-coding RNA, 651 nt
Organism: Physeter macrocephalus (sperm whale)
Lineage: Eukaryota; Metazoa; Chordata; Mammalia; Artiodactyla; Physeteridae
Exons: 5
Source: RefSeq, a predicted model, not a curated record